GAGGGUAUAGCUCAGUGGUAGAAUGCAUGCCUAGCAUGCAAAAAGUCCUGGGUCCAAUCCCUAGUACCUCCA
Molecule: transfer RNA, 72 nt
Organism: Camelus ferus (Wild Bactrian camel)
Lineage: Eukaryota; Metazoa; Chordata; Mammalia; Artiodactyla; Camelidae
Rfam family: tRNA
About the family: Transfer RNA (tRNA) molecules are approximately 80 nucleotides in length. Their secondary structure includes four short double-helical elements and three loops (D, anti-codon, and T loops).
Source: Rfam